ACGGACUCGCCAUUGGAGAUCGCGAUCGGAAGGUGGCGCCACGCGGCCCCUACAGGCCUGGGACUCCCACCCGAGCUCGCAAAGUCAUAUCUGGUCUGGGGGUAAAUAAAUACUUCUGACCUCA
Long non-coding RNA from Homo sapiens (human), 124 nucleotides. RefSeq lists it as uncharacterized. The record is from RefSeq and is a predicted model, not a curated record. The transcript is spliced from 2 exons. Lineage: Eukaryota; Metazoa; Chordata; Mammalia; Primates; Hominidae.